UGGGGAAUCUUCCGCAAUGGACGAAAGUCUGACGGAGCAACGCCGCGUGAGUGAUGACGGCCUUCGGGUUGUAAAGCUCUGUUAAUCGGGACGAAAGGCCUUCUUGCGAAUAGUUAGAAGGAUUGACGGUACCGGAAUAGAAAGCCACGGCUAACUACGUGCCAGCAGCCGCGGUAAUACGUAGGUGGCAAGCGUUGUCCGGAAUUAUUGGGCGUAAAGCGCGCGCAGGCGGAUUGGUCAGUCUGUCUUAAAAGUUCGGGGCUUAACCCCGUGAUGGGAUGGAAACUGCCAAUCUAGAGUAUCGGAGAGGAAAGUGGAAUUCCUAGUGUAGCGGUGAAAUGCGUAGAUAUUAGGAAGAACACCAGUGGCGAAGGCGACUUUCUGGACGAAAACUGACGCUGAGGCGCGAAAGCCAGGGGAGCGAACGGGAUUAGAUACCCCGGUAGUCCUGGCCGUAAACGAUGGGUACUAGGUGUAGGAGGUAUCGACCCCUUCUGUGCCGGAGCUAACGCAAUAAGUACCCCGCCUGGGGAGUACGACCGCAAGGUUG
This 550-nucleotide ribosomal RNA is filed under the name uncultured bacterium. RNAcentral's name for it is "bacterial SSU rRNA". It matches the Rfam family "Bacterial small subunit ribosomal RNA", at positions 355 to 896 of the family's 1533-position model. The record is from RNAcentral.